GGGCAACUUGGCUCCAUUGGCAUCCACAGCAAGGUUCUUACUGACUUCAAAAAACCCCAAAGUUUCAGCCCCACAGGUUGCCUGACUGAUGGAAAUUUAAUGCCGGAGAAAAAGUAGACAGAACGUCUCCAUUGCAGAGGAAAUUAUCACCCAUAUACGUUAACCUGUAUACUAUCCAAGCAAGCAGAGGUGCACUAUGGUUAAAACCAGACUAGGCCUACAAAUGAUUUUGCAGGGAUUCUCAGCCAGAAGCUGAUUAUAUAGACCCAUACUGGAGGUCUAAAGAGGCAUUUCUUGGCAUUUCGUAGGCCUUCCAGAGUGAUUCUGUGGUAUAUUUCAGCUGAAAUUCCAACAUUGUUCAUUUCAGGUCCAGCCAUGAAAAUGAAAUUUGAGUUU
This 396-nucleotide long non-coding RNA is filed under the name Anolis carolinensis (green anole). Its description in RNAcentral is "lncRNA (ENSACAG00000044582.1)". The record is from RNAcentral. Lineage: Eukaryota; Metazoa; Chordata; Lepidosauria; Squamata; Anolidae.